Long non-coding RNA from Sitophilus oryzae (rice weevil), 253 nucleotides. RefSeq lists it as uncharacterized. Lineage: Eukaryota; Metazoa; Arthropoda; Insecta; Coleoptera; Curculionidae. The transcript has 2 exons. The record is from RefSeq and is a predicted model, not a curated record.
UAUUGUCUGGUAUUACAUUAACCAAAUUCUCAGGGAUACUCGUUCUGGCUUUCUCCAAAUCCCAGGUUUUCCAAAUAUUCUACUUUCGAAUGUAUUUAGGUAUAGUUCUUAUAGGAGCCGCUCAUGGUUUGAUAUUUUUACCGGCAUUCUUAAGUUUUAUAGGUUAUUUAAAAUAUCCAUCUAGAGAUUGAGGAGUUGUAAUCUACUAACAAAAAAAACACGGGUUAAAAAGCAUUAUAAGUACAAUGUUAAA